RNAcentral lists this ribosomal RNA (271 nucleotides) under uncultured bacterium. Its description in RNAcentral is "partial 16S ribosomal RNA". It matches the Rfam family "Bacterial small subunit ribosomal RNA", at positions 78 to 354 of the family's 1533-position model. The record is from RNAcentral.
CUUAUGCCGGCGACCGGCGGACGGGUGCGUAACGCGUAUGUAACCUACCUUUGACAGGGGGAUAACAUCGAGAAAUUGGUACUAAUACCCCAUAACAUCACCGGAGGCAUCUUCGGUGGUUGAAAACUCAGGUGGUCAGAGAUGGACAUGCGUUGUAUUAGCUAGUUGGUGAGGUAACGGCUCACCAAGGCGACGAUACAUAGGGGGACUGGGAGGUCAACCCCCCACAUUGGUACUGAGACACGGACCAAACUCCUACGGGAGGCAGCAG